AUAAUUAAUGAAAUUAUUAAACUAAAUGAAAUAUGGAAAAACAAUUAAUGUAAUUAUAUUAAUGAAAUUACUAAAAAGACGCUAUAUUUCUUUUUUUUAAUGAUAUCUAUGUUUCUAAACAAUUCUCAUUUAUACUGCUAUAUUUGUUUAUAAACAGUACCAAAAAGUAUUUCAAUUUUAAUAAUAUAGAUACAUUUCUACACUUACAAUUAUUUUGAAAUAUGUAAUUAGCUGAAUGCAGUACCAGACAGUAUAGUAUAUAAUUGCUUUUGGCUAUACGCAAGUAAAUAUUGUCCUCUGGCGCAAAUGGUUGUAACUGCGCAUUUCCUCGUCGUCCAUGUUGUCUAACUAAGAUGGAUAAAUGGAUAUUUACAAAAGAAAUUAAGAUGGAGAAAUAUUGAUUCAAGAAGCGUGAUAAAAGCUAUUUUGACAUAGGAAGGAUGCAACAUUUUGACAUAAUGAGUUAAUUAAUCAGGAGUUAGAAUUUAAAAUAACAUGGUAUUCUUGUUUAUAAAUGUGAUUAUAUUUAUCAUGACUAACCCGAAAUUUAUGGGACAUGUCAUAGAGAAUUUGCAUGUUUACAGCAUGUUUUACUGUGUAAAUCAACAUUAUAAUAGGACAGUUUCAAGGCUCCUUAAGGUGUCCACGUAGGCAAACGUGUGGGACCCACCUUUUAAAAAAAAUGUCGAAACAUGGGUCAUCGGUUUCAUCUGUAUUUUGGGUCUUUGCAUAUUUCUUUCAUAGGCUUCUCGGGCCUGUUACCGUCCUCAUGGGGGUCGGCUUUGGCAGAUAAGGGUUGUCGUCUUUCUUCGUUUGAGGGCUGAGGGCGCUUCCUCUUCCAGAAUUCAUUUUUGUUACUCGAUCAUAAUAAACCUACACACGAUCUCUGCCGACGUCGCGAAUCAUCUUCCUGUAACGGAUUCUCCAGCCUCCUAUAUAUCGAGAUCGUCUAUGACUCUAUGAUUAAAUACAUUAAACUGUUCAUUUUCCUACCAGAGCUUCUCUCAACCAGAGCAGGUUUCAUCCAAUCAUGGAGAAUGUCUUCCUCUGCUGCGACGCUUUCCAACUUAGCCAGACUUCUUAUUUCAUCGUCUCUAGCCUCUUGCGCUUCGGGGAUUCCCAUAACGUCAAUAAAAACGGUGAAUUUAUGGGAAUCAACCUCAUCUUCCUUGAUGAAAAGAAUUUUGUGAUCCACGGCUCAUCCCAGCUGCUCGCGCAAGUCAGUUAUGUGCUGAAUUGAUCGUUAAAUUUGAUCGGUUUGAAGUUGCCCGAUGCACGAUUACGCAUCAUCCUUUUGUUAUCCCCAAAAAACUGUUGAUGAAGUCGUGACAACUCCUCCUACGAAUCAACCUUCAAAAAUUCAUGCUUUGCAAUUUUGACCAUGUCCAAGCUCUUUCAAACACAAAUUUGGAACUCUCCGGUAAAGCAUUCUAAAACAUUUUCUUUUCCAUGUUACUAUUCGACGACUAGACUAAGAGAGAGGCACCAACUCUUGGCAACGAUAGUGCGUUGUUUGUGGUCUUGGACAGGUAGAUAACUAAGCUAACAAAGAAAAACAUACCAACUCUGGCUUUUGAGCAGGUAAGUUCUUUUUGCUCAUACACUCCAUUUAAUUGGAUGUAAUGUUAGUUAUAUUUCUGAGCAGGUAUGUUCUUUUUGAGCAUCUUAUAUUUUUGUUUUCUCUUUUUUUUUUUUUUCUUUAGCUGAAUAUAGCUAAAAUCUAGAGAUGAUUCGGUACAACAAAUGAUCAUAACUUCUGCCAUACGAUUAGGUAAACAUCACGACCUUUUCAUGUAUGUUAAAUCAGUUCCGUACAAUUUGUGUUUAUCUAAAGCAGAAAUAAAUUCAGAUUUGUGAGUCACCACUCACCAAAGGCAUUACUUGGGACUUGGGAGUGAGAGUGAGUCAUCACUCACCAGCGUUGUAAUAAUCAACGCUAUUAGGCAACCAUUUCACAGCUGUGAGAGUCAGCUAAACACUGCUCAGUUAUAGAACUCAAAUGUUCAAUCGUGACAGCUCAGUAGCUAACUGAACAUUUCUGAUUAUUUUGAUAUUUGUUACUUUCAGCUUUUAUUACUUUCUGUUUAAAUACAUGUCCUCUAAUUACUUUCUAAGACUUCUCGACUUCGGUUGUGCCGUAAGAUCUCAGUUGUGAAGUUGCUAAAGUCGGUUUUAUCUUCUCCUCCUAGAAAGAAGCUAACCUGUUGACAACACAAGCUUUGACCUGGAACAUGUUAAAAAGCGUACAUGCUACUGCUUUAUCUGGGAAUGAAGUUAACUUCUGAAAUGUUUACAACGAGAAUGAUCCUGCUAACAAACAUUUUCUCCACAUAGCUGAAGGUGAAACUAUACGACCUUAAUUGCUUUUACAACGUGUUUGAACUUAAUACCCUUAUACACUUCAGUUAAGGUGCCUUAUAUUUGUCUCAUUUUUUAAUUGAAACUUAAAUGGAUAGCCUAAUUUCUCUGGGUGAGCAGUUCGUAAGGUGAGAUACAUGGGAGAUCUUGUGGAAGUGUAUGGAAUGAGUUUUCGUUAUUUACGGUGGAAUAAUCUCGGUGGAUUGAUUAUGCACUGAUGUUCAAUCAUCUAACAGUAAGUCCCUCCGAGUAAAUGAAGACCAUUGAAUUUUUUUUUUUUUUACUUUUUGUGUUUUAAUUCUUUUUUUUUAAUUGUAUCUUAAUCUUACAAACAUGUUUUAUGAAAGACUAGAUACAAUCCAAUAGCUACGAAAUAUUUAGGUUCUCUAUACAUCACCAUCUUAGACCUUAUACUGCAACAAGUUCAAUUAUAACCAAAUUUAAGUGCAGCCCGAAAACAUUGACAUUUAGGUGACAAUGCAGAAAUAAAGCAUACUCAGUUUAAUGGGAUAAGUCAUAAUUUGGUAAAACAAUCUACACUUU
Brassica rapa (field mustard) is the source of this 2901-nucleotide long non-coding RNA. RefSeq lists it as uncharacterized. Lineage: Eukaryota; Viridiplantae; Streptophyta; Magnoliopsida; Brassicales; Brassicaceae. The record is from RefSeq and is a predicted model, not a curated record.